GGAAUAUUGCACAAUGGGCGAAAGCCUGAUGCAGCGACGCCGCGUGGGCGAAGAAGGUUUUCGGAUCGUAAAGCCCUUUUCUAGGUGACGAGGCAGGACGGUAGCCUAGGAAUAAGUGUCGGCUAACUACGUGCCAGCAGCCGCGGUAAAACGUAGGACGCGAACGUUAUCCGGAGUUACUGGGCGUAAAGCGCGUGCAGGCGGUUGAGUAAGUUACCUAUGAAAGCUUCCGGCUAAACUGGGAGAGGAUAGGUGAUACUGCUGAACUAGAGUGAGAAAGAGGCAAGUAGAAUUCCAGGUGUAGUGGUGAAAUGCGUAGAUAUCUGGAGGAAUACCAGUGGCGAAGGCGGCUUGCUGGUUCUCAACUGACGCUGAGACGCGAAAGCGUGGGUAGCGAA
This 398-nucleotide ribosomal RNA is filed under the name uncultured bacterium. RNAcentral's name for it is "bacterial SSU rRNA". It matches the Rfam family "Bacterial small subunit ribosomal RNA", at positions 358 to 772 of the family's 1533-position model. The record is from RNAcentral.